AUUGAACGCUGGCGGCAGGCCUAACACAUGCAAGUCGAGCGGAUGAAGGGAGCUUGCUCCUGGAUUCAGCGGCGGACGGGUGAGUAAUGCCUAGGAAUCUGCCUGGUAGUGGGGUAUAACGUCCGGAAACGGGCGCUAAUACCGCAUACGUCCUGAGGGAGAAAGUGUGGGAUCUUCGGACCUCACGCUAUCAGAUGAGCCUAGGUCGGAUUAGCUAGUUGGUGGGGUAAAGGCCUACCAAGGCGACGAUCCGUAACUGGUCUGAGAGGAUGAUCAGUCACACUGGAACUGAGACACGGUCCAGACUCCUACGGGAGGCAGCAGUGGGGAAUAUUGGACAAUGGGCGAAAGCCUGAUCCAGCCAUGCCGCGUGUGUGAAGAAGGUCUUCGGAUUGUAAAGCACUUUAAGUUGGGAGGAAGGGCAGUAAGUUAAUACCUUGCUGUUUUGACGUUACCAACAGAAUAAGCACCGGCUAACUUCGUG
This 484-nucleotide ribosomal RNA is filed under the name uncultured bacterium. RNAcentral describes it as "partial 16S ribosomal RNA". It matches the Rfam family "Bacterial small subunit ribosomal RNA", at positions 30 to 507 of the family's 1533-position model. The record is from RNAcentral.